Molecule: ribosomal RNA, 549 nt
Filed under: uncultured Ectothiorhodospiraceae bacterium
Lineage: Bacteria; Pseudomonadati; Pseudomonadota; Gammaproteobacteria; Chromatiales; Ectothiorhodospiraceae
Description: bacterial SSU rRNA
Rfam family: Bacterial small subunit ribosomal RNA
Source: RNAcentral
GCUGGCGGCAUGCCUAACACAUGCAAGUCGAACGGUAACGCGGAGUAGUCUUGCUCUCUGGCGACGAGUGGCGGACGGGUGAGUAAUACUUAGGAAUCUGCCCAGUAGUGGGGGACAACUCGGGGAAACUCGAGCUAAUACCGCAUACGCCCUACGGGGGAAAGCGGGGGAUCUUCGGACCUCGCGCUAUUGGAUGAGCCUAAGUCGGAUUAGCUUGUAGGUAGGGUAACGGCCUACCUAGGCGACGAUCCGUAGCUGGUCUGAGAGGACGAUCAGCCACACUGAGACUGAGACACAGCCCAGACUCCUACGGGAGGCAGCAGUGGGGAAUAUUGGACAAUGGGCGCAAGCCUGAUCCAGCAAUGCCGCGUGUGUGAAGAAGGCCUGCGGGUUGUAAAGCACUUUCAGUAGAGAAGAAAAGCUUACGGUUAAUAACUGUGAGUCUUGACGUAACCUACAGAAGAAGCACCGGCUAACUCCGUGCCAGCAGCCGCGGUAAUACGGAGGGUGCUAGCGUUAAUCGGAAUUACUGGGCGUAAAGCGCGCGUA